ACUAUAUCUAGCCCAUACUCCUCCUCACCACUACUACUAUAAGUCAAUCAAAUAAAACAUUUACCAUACAUCUAAAGUAUAGGAGAUAGAAAUUUAAUUAUCAAUGGCGCUAUAGAGAAAGUACCGUAAGGGAAAGAUGAAAGAAUUAUUAAAAGUAGAAAAAAGCAAAGUUUACCCCUUGUACCUUUUGCAUAAUGAUUUAACUAGUAAUAAUUUAGCAAAGAGACCUUAAGUUAAAUUACCCGAAACCAGACGAGCUACUUAUGAGCAGUGACUAGAACAAACUCAUCUAUGUGGCAAAAUAGUGAGAAGACUUAUAGGUAGAGGUGAAAAGCCUAACGAGCCUGGUGAUAGCUGGUUGUCCAAGAAAGGAAUUUCAGUUCAACAUUAAACAAUACUAAAAACCAUAUUAAGUUCCAACGUAUGUUUAACUGUUAGUCUAAAAAGGUACAGCUUUUUAGAAAUGGAUACAACCUUUACUAGAGAGUAACAUAAAACUUAAACCAUAGUUGGCCUAAAAGCAGCCAUCAAUUAAGAAAGCGUUCAAGCUCAACAACAAAAACAAGUUUUAAUUUCAACAAUAAACAAAAAACUCCUAGCCUGACUAUUGGACUAAUCUAUUUAAUUAUAGAAGAAAUACUGUUAAUAUGAGUAACAAGAAAAACUUUCUCCUUGCACA
Molecule: ribosomal RNA, 679 nt
Filed under: Tursiops truncatus (common bottlenose dolphin)
Lineage: Eukaryota; Metazoa; Chordata; Mammalia; Artiodactyla; Delphinidae
Description: partial 16S ribosomal RNA
Rfam family: Bacterial large subunit ribosomal RNA (bases 163-679)
Source: RNAcentral